CAACAAGCUUGUCUUGGAACAAAGCCAACAAUUUAUCUUCAUUUAUCGGUGUUUUAUCCUUUCAGGGGAAAAAAAAAAAUACGCAGUGCGGGAUGGGAAUAGGAAUCACUGUUCUGCAUCGAACUGAAACAAGGAUCUGAUGGAAAUGUAAGGUCUGCUAUUGGUGAUGUUCCAGACCAUGAACCUGUGGCUUACGUUCUAGGACACCACAGGUGAGUUACUCAAAUGUGAAGACAGUUUCCUCAUCUGGAAAUAAGACUUGGACCUUUUUUUCACAUCUAUGACUUCCUGUGAUUUGGUGAAAUUUUUCCUUGUUUGUUUUUGGAAAGCUACACAGAA
RNAcentral lists this long non-coding RNA (339 nucleotides) under Ictidomys tridecemlineatus (thirteen-lined ground squirrel). RNAcentral describes it as "lncRNA (ENSSTOG00000033739.1)". Lineage: Eukaryota; Metazoa; Chordata; Mammalia; Rodentia; Sciuridae. The record is from RNAcentral.